GAGGGUAUAGCUCAGUGGUAGAGCGCAUGCUUGCUUAGCAUGCACGAAGUCCUGGGUUCAGUCCCAAGUGCUGCCA
Molecule: transfer RNA, 76 nt
Filed under: Camelus bactrianus (Bactrian camel)
Lineage: Eukaryota; Metazoa; Chordata; Mammalia; Artiodactyla; Camelidae
Also listed under: 2 other names
Rfam family: tRNA
About the family: Transfer RNA (tRNA) molecules are approximately 80 nucleotides in length. Their secondary structure includes four short double-helical elements and three loops (D, anti-codon, and T loops). Further hydrogen bonds mediate the characteristic L-shaped molecular structure. tRNAs have two regions of fundamental functional importance: the anti-codon, which is responsible for specific mRNA codon recognition, and the 3' end, to which the tRNAs corresponding amino acid is attached (by aminoacyl-tRNA synthetases). tRNAs cope with the degeneracy of the genetic code in two manners: having more than one tRNA (with a specific anti-codon) for a particular amino acid; and 'wobble' base-pairing, i.e. permitting non-standard base-pairing at the 3rd anti-codon position.
Source: Rfam by way of RNAcentral